AUGGUGACAGAGACCAGUAUCGUGGUGACGGCGUCGUCGAAGUCGAGACAACAGUCGUGAGAGAGAUCGAGAUUCUUACCGACAACGUCGUGAUCAAGAUGAUGACGGAGAGACAGAAGCAAAGAGAAGACACGUCGCUGAAGAGAUCGACAAUGAUAAACCGGAGGUGAUGGCAGUACUCGAUCAGGUUGGGCAGACAACGACGAUUCAUUACCAUAUCAAGAAGAAAUCAAUGGCACGACUCCUGAAAACAAUGGCACGACUCCUGAAAACAAUGGCACGGCUCCUGAAAACAAUGGCACGGCUCCUGAAAACAAUUGCACGUCUCCUGAAAACAAUGGCACGGCUCCUGAAAACAUUGGCACGACUCUUGAAAACAAUGGCGCGACUCCUGAAAACAAUGGCACGGCCCCUGGAAACAAUGGCACGGCUCCUCCUGUAGUUGCAAACUGAUCUCUCAUACAAGUAUAAGAGUCCUAAUCUUACAAUAGGCUUGCAUUCCUAUGCCAGACCUCCGUACGACAGCACAAUUAGUUGGUUGACUGCGUUGGAAGCGUCUUGUUGGGUUUCUCUCUUUCAGUGUGAAAAUGAAAUCCCAUACAAAAUCAUCAGUAAUUGAUACUGAAUGCUGUAAUUUGGGUGCUCCCGAAGUAUGUGAACCAAGAUGGCGGACAUCUGAACAUAGUAGGUUAGGGUUAAGCCAUAAUUUAUUUCCAAUUUUCCUCAUUUCCUCAAGUUUAGGGACUACCCAAUUGACUCCGUAGUAUUUGUACCUGAAAUUAUGGCCUAACCCUAACCCGGUACACAUACUACGUUCCGGAGUCCACCAUCUUGGUUCACAUACUUCGGGAAUGCUGUAAUUUGACUUUUUUUAUUCCGUUUUAAUUUUUACUUCUUUUCUUUACGCUCACGAAACUGAAUGGUUUUCCGAAUUGAUGAUUUUAAGAAUAUCUGCCUCUUGCAAGGACACUUGUCCUCAUUUCCCUGGACUGUUUCUAUCAGGACGAUGAAUGUUAAAGCUUUUUUUC
Styela clava is the source of this 1028-nucleotide non-coding RNA. The record is from RefSeq and is a predicted model, not a curated record. Lineage: Eukaryota; Metazoa; Chordata; Ascidiacea; Stolidobranchia; Styelidae.